RNAcentral lists this long non-coding RNA (309 nucleotides) under Capsicum annuum. Its description in RNAcentral is "long non-coding RNA (CANN_LNC013680)". The record is from RNAcentral. Lineage: Eukaryota; Viridiplantae; Streptophyta; Magnoliopsida; Solanales; Solanaceae.
GUGAAAGAGUAUUCUCUUAAUUUUACUCAAUUAGCUAGAUAUGCUCCUCAUGUAGUGGCAAAUAGCAGGGCUAAGAGCAGUAAGUUUGAUUUUGGGGUUAAUAAUAGUGUGGUAAGUAAGUGCAGAUCUGCAAUGUUGAUUAGUGAUAUGGACAAAGCCAGGCUUAUGAUAGAAUAGAAGAAGAUUAAGAUGAGGGAGAAGUAUAAUAAGAGAGCAAGGAUAGCUAGUUUCAACUUUGCUCAGCCUAAGUCAGAGGGUGGUAAUCGUUCUCAGUUCCACUCAAAGUCAUCCAUUCCAGCUCCUUCCCCG